This 77-nucleotide transfer RNA is filed under the name Deltaproteobacteria bacterium. RNAcentral's name for it is "tRNA-His". It matches the Rfam family "tRNA". Rfam says of the family: Transfer RNA (tRNA) molecules are approximately 80 nucleotides in length. Their secondary structure includes four short double-helical elements and three loops (D, anti-codon, and T loops). Lineage: Bacteria; Pseudomonadati; Myxococcota; Myxococcia. RNAcentral also lists the same sequence under 1 other name. The record is from RNAcentral.
GUGGGUGUAGCUCAACAGGUUAGAGCACUGGGUUGUGGCCCCAGAGGCUGUGGGUUCGAGUCCCAUCACUCACCCCA